RNAcentral lists this small RNA (866 nucleotides) under Malus domestica (apple). RNAcentral describes it as "sRNA MD03G0010600". Lineage: Eukaryota; Viridiplantae; Streptophyta; Magnoliopsida; Rosales; Rosaceae. The record is from RNAcentral.
AGUAGUACUUACAUAACUUUAUGAAUUGCAAAAUACAACACUGGAUCAAAGAAGAUAAAUAGUACAUACUAGUAGCAUGCACUGAAACAAAAGGAACACAAUUUUCCAGCCAAGCUACUGUAAACUCGGACUGUACCAACUCACUCCCCAAGUGAAUUCAGUUUCAAUACUAUCAUAAAAUUUUUUGGAUCUUCCAAAUUUCCGGCCAUCUAAGUAGAAAGGAUGAGAAAAAUCACACAUGGUGGUUCUACUAUGUCCAGAAUUCUCAACACAAAACAUGUCGUCGUGGUCAAUUCCUCCUAACUCCACAAAAUAAAUGCAGUUUGCUUCCGACCCGUUGGAAUUACUCACUGGAAAGGAAAAGGAACAGCCUCGGCUUGUUACAAAUAAUAUUUGAUUCCCCAAACUCUGUACCUCGAUAAAGCUUUCACCAUUCUCCGGAUCGAUCUUGUAAACUAGAAAAUCAUGAGUCCUUGUCCAGGUAUUCAAAUCGGUUUUCAUUUGAUCCUUUAUUUGACGGAUCAACAAGACUUCGUUGCUGGUUGUUGAUUCUAUCAAAUAUGACUCGUCUUUGACCUUGACAUCCAAAAAGUCACCUUCACCCCAGCAGUUGAAUGAACCCUUUCGUGAUUUUUCUUUGUCAUAAACCAACUUCAAUUCCAGCUCAUCACCAUCUCCGAGGCAUAAUGUGCGAGUUACAACGUGUCCAGACUUACUGUUUUUGACAGUGUUUUCGACUAAGACAUAUAGCAUGCCACAAGACGAAAACAGUAGGCAUGAAGGACACGUUUUUCUAUCCCACAUCCGAGAUAUUUUCCAACCUUUUUUUGGCCUGCACACACCAAUUUCCCCAGAAGAAAAAAUUG